CUACGGGUGGCUCCAGUAGGGAAUCUUCGGCAAUGGGCGAAAGCCUGACCGAGCAACGCCGCGUGCAGGAUGACACCCGUGAGGGCGUAAACUGCUUUUCUGAGGGAAGAACUUUGACGGUACUUCAGGAAUAAGCACCGGCUAACUCCGUGCCAGCAGCCGCGGUAAUACGGAGGGUGCAAGCGUUAUCCGGAAUCAUUGGGUGUAAAGGGUCCGCAGGCGGUAUAGUAAGUCGGAUGUUAAAUCUCUUGGCUCAACCAAGAGCUCGUGUCCGAAACUGCUAAACUAGAGGAUUGCAGGGGUGCAUGGAAUUCCGCAUGUAGGGGUUACAUCCGUUGAUAUGCGGAGGAACACCAAAAGCGAAGGCAAUGCACUGGGCAAUUCCUGACGCUCAGGGACGAAAGCGUGGGGAGCAAACAGGAUUAGAUACCCCCGUAGUC
RNAcentral lists this ribosomal RNA (440 nucleotides) under uncultured bacterium. RNAcentral describes it as "partial 16S ribosomal RNA". It matches the Rfam family "Bacterial small subunit ribosomal RNA", at positions 339 to 795 of the family's 1533-position model. The record is from RNAcentral.